CCUACGGGAGGCAGCAGUGAGGAAUAUUGGUCAAUGGACGAGAGUCUGAACCAGCCAAGUAGCGUGAAGGAUGACUGCCCUAUGGGUUGUAAACUUCUUUUAUAUGGGAAUAAAAUGUUCCACGUGUGGGAUUUUGUAUGUACCAUAUGAAUAAGGAUCGGCUAACUCCGUGCCAGCAGCCGCGGUAAUACGGAGGAUCCGAGCGUUAUCCGGAUUUAUUGGGUUUAAAGGGAGCGUAGGUGGAUUUUUAAGUCAGUUGUGAAAGUUUGCGGCUCAACCGUAAAAUUGCAGUUGAAACUGGCAGUCUUGAGUACAGUAGAGGUGGGCGGAAUUCGUGGUGUAGCGGUGAAAUGCUUAGAUAUCACGAAGAACUCCGAUUGCGAAGGCAGUUCACUGGACUGCAACUGACACUGAGGCUCGAAAGUGUGGGUAUCAAACAGGAUUAGAUACCCCAGUAGUC
This 460-nucleotide ribosomal RNA is filed under the name uncultured bacterium. RNAcentral's name for it is "partial 16S ribosomal RNA". It matches the Rfam family "Bacterial small subunit ribosomal RNA", at positions 338 to 795 of the family's 1533-position model. The record is from RNAcentral.